GAUGAAGAACGCAGCGAAAUGCGAUACGUAAUGUGAAUUGCAGAAUUCAGUGAAUCAUCGAAUCUUUGAACGCACAUUGCGCCCGCCAGUAUUCUGGCGGGCAUGCCUGUUCGAGCGUCAUUUCAACCAUCAAGCCCCAGGCUUGUGUUGGAGCCCUGCGGCCGUCCGCAGCCUCCUAAAAUCAGUGGCGGGCUCGCUAUCACACCGAGUGCAGUAGUUUUCUCUUCGCUCUGGCCGUGUAGCGAGUUCUGGCCGUGAAACCCCCCCACAUUCUAAGGUUGACCUCGGAUCAGGUAGGAAUACCCGCUGAACUUAAGCAUAUCAAUAAGCGGAGGA
RNAcentral lists this unclassified non-coding RNA (336 nucleotides) under soil metagenome. Its description in RNAcentral is "partial contains 5.8S ribosomal RNA, internal transcribed spacer 2, and large subunit ribosomal RNA". The stretch from base 1 to 120 matches the Rfam family "5.8S ribosomal RNA", at positions 35 to 154 of the family's 154-position model. The record is from RNAcentral.